GAUGAAGAACGUAGCGAAAUGCGAUAAGUAGUGUGAAUUGCAGAAUUCCGUGAAUCAUCGAAUCUUUGAACGCACAUUGCGCCUUCUGGUAUUCCGGAAGGCAUGCCUGUUCGAGAGUCAUUAACAACCGUUUCGAUCCCUUUCUUUCAGAAAUUACAAAGAGGAAAAGGGUUUGGUUAUGGUGGAGGAGGGAAAGGGAGCGUUUAGCCUGUAAAAAAAGAGGCUGUGUUCCGCCUCCCCCCCAAAAUUGUACAGGCGGUCGUGUGCGCCCACGCAUCGAGGUGUUGUAAAAGCUGCCACGGCACUUUUCACCUGUGCAGUGCGAGAUUGGCCAGCCGGUUUAAAAACCCCUCCAAACAAUCAAAGGUUGACCUCGGAUCAGGUAGGGAUACCCGCUGAACUUAAACAUAUCAAUAAGCGGAGGA
Molecule: unclassified non-coding RNA, 425 nt
Filed under: soil metagenome
Description: partial contains 5.8S ribosomal RNA, internal transcribed spacer 2, and large subunit ribosomal RNA
Rfam family: 5.8S ribosomal RNA (bases 1-120)
Source: RNAcentral